Molecule: non-coding RNA, 970 nt
Organism: Xyrichtys novacula (pearly razorfish)
Lineage: Eukaryota; Metazoa; Chordata; Actinopteri; Labriformes; Labridae
Source: the annotation of a GenBank genome assembly
GGGGCUGUUAUGGUCGACGAUGACCGAGCUGAUGAAGAUCAAUAUCAUUUCAAUUAAUUAUUAUUUCAUCAAACCAUCAAACAAACUCAAAGGAAGUGUGAACCAGCAGACAGUUAGUGAGCUCCUUUAGCUGUUCCCUUUAUCGUGAAAAUGUGUUUAAAAAAACACGUUAUUGUCUUUAAUUAUUAUUAUUAUUAUUAUUUAUUAUUAUUAUGUUUAUUAUAAUUAUCAUAAUUAUUGUUAUAAUUAUUAUGUUUAUUAUGUAUAUUAUGUUUAUUAUUACUAUAACUAUUAUUAUUAUUGUUGUUAUUAUUAUUAUUAUCAUUAUUAUUAUGUUUAUUAUUACUAUUACUAUUAUUAUUAUUAUUGUUGUUAUUGUCAUCAUUAUAAUGUUUAUGAUCAAUCAGUCAACACAGGGAUUGUAGCACAAAGUGCUGUCCAUUCAGACAAGAUAUUAUUAUAAUUAUUAUGAUAGUUAUUAUUUAUUUUCAUCAUUAAUGUUAUUAUUAUUAUAAUAAUAAUUAUUAUUAUCAUUAUUAUCGUUAAUAUUGUUAUUGUAAUUCUUAUAAUAAUGAUAAUAAUAAUUGUAAUAAUUGUCAUUGUAAUAAUAAUAAUAAUAAUCAUUAUUAUUAUUAUUAAGAUUGCCAUUUUUAUUUUUAUUAUUAUUAUUAUUAUUAUUAUUAUUUUAGUAGUAGUGAAUCAGCUUCUGUUUAGAGCAGAGCUCUGCCCUCUGUCCUCCUGACAGAAACUGUUCGUCUCUUGUUUUAGUGAAGUGGCUCCAUGUUGAAUCCUGUUCCUCUGUUGAAACAGCUCCGGUGCUCACAGUCAGAUCUCAGACCGAGGACAUUUCAGCGAAGACAACCUUAUCCUUUAACGAUUGGACUGGAAAUCUUUGGACAUGACCACGGCUUUAGUACUUCCACCACAACACCGGCACAGUUCAGGGAUAAGUGCGAUGGCAGGAAUCAAA